UCGGGAAUUUUGUGCAAUGGGCGAAAGCCUGACACAGCAACGCCGCGUGAAGGAUGAAGUCCCUCGGGAUGUAAACUUCGUAAGAAUAGGAAGAAUAAAUGACGGUACUAUUUGUAAGGUCCGGCUAACUACGUGCCAGCAGCCGCGGUAAUACGUAGGGACCAAGCGUUGUUCGGAUUUACUGGGCGUAAAGGGUGCGUAGGCGGCAUAUCAAGUCACUUGUGAAAUCUCCGGGCUUAACUCGGAACGGUCAGAUGAUACUGCUUUGCUAGAGUGCAGAAGGGGCAAUCGGAAUUCUUGGUGUAGCGGUGAAAUGCGUAGAUAUCAAGAGGAACACCUGAGGUGAAGACGGGUUGCUGGGCUGACACUGACGCUGAGGCGCGAAAGCCAGGGGAGCAAACGGGAUUAGAUACCCCCGUAGUCCCUGAGCGGGCUGGCAAGGCGCAU
This 447-nucleotide ribosomal RNA is filed under the name uncultured bacterium. RNAcentral describes it as "bacterial SSU rRNA". It matches the Rfam family "Bacterial small subunit ribosomal RNA", at positions 355 to 825 of the family's 1533-position model. The record is from RNAcentral.